This 466-nucleotide ribosomal RNA is filed under the name uncultured bacterium. RNAcentral describes it as "partial 16S ribosomal RNA". It matches the Rfam family "Bacterial small subunit ribosomal RNA", at positions 28 to 507 of the family's 1533-position model. The record is from RNAcentral.
GAUGAACGCUGGCGGCGUGCUUGACACAUGCAAGUCGAACGAUGAAGCCCAGCUUGCUGGGUGGAUUAGUGGCGAACGGGUGAGUAACACGUGAGUAACCUGCCCUUAACUCUGGGAUAAGCCUGGGAAACUGGGUCUAAUACCGGAUAGGAGCGUCCACCGCAUGGUGGGUGUUGGAAAGAUUUAUCGGUUUUGGAUGGACUCGCGGCCUAUCAGCUUGUUGGUGAGGUAAUGGCUCACCAAGGCGACGACGGGUAGCCGGCCUGAGAGGGUGACCGGCCACACUGGGACUGAGACACGGCCCAGACUCCUACGGGAGGCAGCAGUGGGGAAUAUUGCACAAUGGGCGCAAGCCUGAUGCAGCGACGCCGCGUGAGGGAUGACGGCCUUCGGGUUGUAAACCUCUUUCAGUAGGGAAGAAGCGAAAGUGACGGUACCUGCAGAAGAAGCACCGGCUAACUACGUG